CAACUCAGUGGCCCACAGUAAAUGUCAAAUUAAUGAAGACAAAAUGGCUAUAAGGAAAAGGAGUUCCAGGCACUGUGACAGAUUUUUUUUUUUAAGGUUGCCUGUUUUAACACUGAAAACAAUCAGAUAAGGCAAAGGCACACCAUGAUGAGAAGUACCAGGACAGGCAGGAUCACAGCCAGAGCCACUGCUGAGGGGGAGAGACUCCCCACAGAUGGGGCUGAAACAGAAACCACGAACGACUGACCUCAGGGAGAUGUCUAAGAGCUUCUGGCAUGCCUCAGAUGGCAGGCGGCUCCAGCACAUCCCAACUGUCUCCAUCACCUCUAGGGAGAGAGCUCCGGCCAAGAGGCUCUUUGCUUCUCUGAUAACUCAAGGCCUGGAUGGCAUUAAAGAUAACUGAGGCUGGGAACGGUGGCUCACGCCUGUAAUACCAGCACUUUGGGAGGCAGAGGCAGGAGGAUCAUCUGAGAUCAGGAGUUCAAGACCAGCUGGCCAAUGUGGGGAAACUCCGUGUCUACUAAAAAUACAAAAAUUAGCCAGGUGUGGUGGCGGGCACCUGUAAUCCCAGCUCUUCAGGAGGCUGAGGCAGGAGAAUCCCUUGAACCUGGGAGGCAGAGGUUGCAGUGAGCCAAGGUCACGCCAUUGUACUCCAGCCUGGGUGACAAGAGUGAAACUCCAUCUCAAAAAAAAAAAAAAAAAAAAACCAACUGAGAUGUUCCUCUCUUGGGAAUGGUUUGGAUGGUCCUGCCUCAAGAUGAUGACUUAAACAAACUUCUUGACCACAAUCUCAUCCUGCCCUAUAAUUCAAUGGAAAAAUAAGCCCGGGACUUCAGAGGACUGAAGGCACUCUCCUCACUAGACACCUCCAGUCUUCCCAGGAGCACCUGCCUGUUUACCCCUGUCAAUCCUCACUCUGCUCUAGAAGAGCAGGCAGCAACCUCUUUGCCCUGAGCACUGUCCACGGGGGCAAAGCAAUUUCUAUGAUGCCACAGCAGUAGGCCUGAAGCCUAGGCAGGAGAGAAAGGGGAAAAGAAAGAGGAAAUAGAGGAGAGGAAACGAGCAGAAGCGGGCUAUGGGUAGAAGUGGUUAAGAGCCUAAGCUGGGGGUAUGUCCUUGCUCAAUGCUGUGUGACCCGAAGCAGGAGACUGAGUACCUCCAAGCCCAUUGUCCCUCAUCUGUAAAAUGUGCGCAUGACAGGACUCCUUAUCUCUUUGAGGUUUGGAGAGAUUUAAAGAGGUCAGUCAUAUAAAGCAUUCAGUCUCCUAAGUAGCUGGGAUUACAGGAACAUGCCACCAUGCCCGGCUAAUUUUUGUAUUUUUUUGGUAGAGACAAGGUUUUGCCAUGUUGGCCAGGCUGGUCUCCAAUUCGUUUCAAGGAUCAUUAAAAGGUUCAGGCCAGGUGUGGUGACUCACACCUGUAAUCCUAGCACUUUGGGAGGCUGAAGCAGGAGGAUCACUACAGCUCAGGAGUUUCAGACCAGCCUGGGCAGCAUGGUGAGAGCUCAUCUUUAUUAUAAAUAAAAAAGAAAAAAUAAGUAAAA
Molecule: long non-coding RNA, 1543 nt
Organism: Gorilla gorilla gorilla (western lowland gorilla)
Lineage: Eukaryota; Metazoa; Chordata; Mammalia; Primates; Hominidae
Exons: 2
Source: RefSeq, a predicted model, not a curated record